CCUACGGGAGGCAGCAGUGAGGAAUAUUGGUCAAUGGGCGUAAGCCUGAACCAGCCAAGUCGCGUGAGGGAUGAAGGUUCUAUGGAUCGUAAACCUCUUUUAUAAAGGAAUAAAGUGAGGCACGUGUGCCUUUUUGUAUGUACUUUAUGAAUAAGGAUCGGCUAACUCCGUGCCAGCAGCCGCGGUAAUACGGAGGAUCCGAGCGUUAUCCGGAUUUAUUGGGUUUAAAGGGAGCGUAGAUGGGUUGUUAAGUCAGUUGUGAAAGUUUGCGGCUCAACCGUAAAAUUGCAAUUGAUACUGGCAGUCUUGAGUACAGGUGAGGUAGGCGGAAUGCGUGGUGUAGCGGUGAAAUGCUUAGAUAUCACGAAGAACCCCGAUUGCGAAGGCAGCCUGCCGCAGCGUUACUGACGCUGAAGCUCGAAAGCGCGGGUAUCGAACAGGAUUAGAUACCCCUGUAGUC
Molecule: ribosomal RNA, 460 nt
Filed under: uncultured bacterium
Lineage: Bacteria
Description: partial 16S ribosomal RNA
Rfam family: Bacterial small subunit ribosomal RNA
Source: RNAcentral